Molecule: ribosomal RNA, 479 nt
Filed under: uncultured bacterium
Lineage: Bacteria
Description: partial 16S ribosomal RNA
Rfam family: Bacterial small subunit ribosomal RNA
Source: RNAcentral
GAUGAACGCUAGCGGGAGGCCUAACACAUGCAAGCCGAGCGGUAGAGUCUCUUCGGAGACUUGAGAGCGGCGCACGGGUGCGGAACACGUGUGCAACCUGCCUUUAUCUGGGGGAUAGCCUUUCUAAGGGAAGAUUAAUACCCCAUAAUAUACUGGAUGGCAUCAUCUGGUAUUGAAAACUCCGGUGGAUAGAGAUGGGCACGCGCAAGAUUAGAUAGUUGGUGAGGUAACGGCUCACCAAGUCAGCGAUCUUUAGGGGGCCUGAGAGGGUGAUCCCCCACACUGGUACUGAGACACGGACCAGACUCCUACGGGAGGCAGCAGUGAGGAAGAUUGGACAAUGGGUGAGAGCCUGAUCCAGCCAUCCCGCGUGAAGGACGACGGCCCUAUGGGUUGUAACCUUCUUUUGUAUAGGGAUAAACCUAGAUACGUGUAUCUAGCUGAAGGUACUAGACGAAUAAGCACCGGCUAACUCCGUG